Molecule: ribosomal RNA, 483 nt
Filed under: uncultured bacterium
Lineage: Bacteria
Description: bacterial SSU rRNA
Rfam family: Bacterial small subunit ribosomal RNA
Source: RNAcentral
GGGCUUGACAUCCCACGAACCUGCCGAAAGGCAGGAGUGCCUGCAAGGGAGCGCGGAGACAGGUGGUGCAUGGCUGUCGUCAGCUCGUGUCGUGAGAUGUUGGGUUAAGUCCCGCAACGAGCGCAACCCUCACCUCUUGUUGCCAUCAGGUCAUGCUGGGCACUCUAGAGGAACUGCCCCGGUCAACGGGGAGGAAGGCGGGGAUGACGUCAAGUCAUCAUGCCCCUUACGUCCUGGGCUACACACGUGCUACAAUGGCCGGUACAAAGGGAUGCCACACCGCGAGGUAGAGCUAAACCCAAAAAGCCGGUCUAAGUUCGGAUUGGAGUCUGCAACUCGACUCCAUGAAGGAGGAAUCGCUAGUAACCGCGUAUCAGCACGACGCGGUGAAUACGUUCCCGGGCCUUGUACACACCGCCCGUCACACCACGAAAGCCAGCUGUACUCGAAGUCGCUAGAAUCGUCGACUGAAGAGUCAGUCCC